Tetrahymena thermophila SB210 is the source of this 73-nucleotide transfer RNA. It matches the Rfam family "tRNA". Rfam says of the family: Transfer RNA (tRNA) molecules are approximately 80 nucleotides in length. Their secondary structure includes four short double-helical elements and three loops (D, anti-codon, and T loops). NCBI's taxonomy places the organism in Eukaryota, Ciliophora, Oligohymenophorea, Hymenostomatida, Tetrahymenidae. The record is from Rfam.
UCCCCUAUAGUCUAGCAGGUUAGGAUAGAAGGUUUUCACCCUUCAGACCCGGGUUCAAGUCCCGGUGGGGGAA